GUCUACAUGUAGAAUAUGCGAACUGUUAUAUCAUGUAUUUCUCACGCUGCUGUGUGACCAUAUUUAAACUGACAUUAUGAUGUCUGCAACCAUGUCAUUCAAUCAAAUAGCUGCCAUUAUACAAAACUAUCACUGUAACAAAUGGUAGUCUUCCGAUUUACGAAGAAGGGACUGAAGUAGACGACGGAAUUAGCGCCGUUGGAAAUGAAGAUUACAUCACCGAUAGAAGACUAGUAAAACGAAGGAGGCUGCAGACUCACGUCGACGAGGCAAUAGCAAUUAUGAGAAGCAUUAAUAACUCUCAAUAGCGGAAAAACGAAUAUUACUUAUUUGGGAAACAAGACACGGCAUGCUACGCGGCGAGUAAUGGACGGUUAGGUUGGCGCACAGAAAUUACAAGCGUGUCGUUUCGGAGUUGUUGCACGCGUGUACGGUUCGCUUUUCCAUCCGUGUCACAACAUGGUAAUUUUCGUGUCACGACAUCUCACCGUAAGCGAACCGAAGGAAACUGGAGAACAAAAGCCGUUUGAAAGAAGAAACGACGUAAUUACUUGCACUUUUCCGCAUGGAAACUUUUUGCGGCGUAUGGUGACGGAACAAUCUCUGCGCUGACAUUUUGUACGGAGUGUUUGCAAAUCAGAGGAAAAGUUUUAAUGUAUAUAAAUGGAAAAAUUAAUAUUUUUUAUAUUACAAAUAAUCUUUUAUUCGAGUUGUAACGACUAAUUUUGUUACUUCAAGAGAUAUCUCGUCGGGUGCAAACAAUGAUAAUAAUUAUGAUUAUAAUUGAUUGAUUUCAUUAAAUCAUUUUUUCUUAAUUUACAUUUUAUUAUUUCUUUUUUUCUUAGUUAUAAUGAUAUUAUA
Molecule: long non-coding RNA, 861 nt
Organism: Nomia melanderi (Alkali bee)
Lineage: Eukaryota; Metazoa; Arthropoda; Insecta; Hymenoptera; Halictidae
Source: RefSeq, a predicted model, not a curated record